Cebus imitator (Panamanian white-faced capuchin) is the source of this 241-nucleotide long non-coding RNA. RefSeq lists it as uncharacterized. The transcript is spliced from 3 exons. NCBI's taxonomy places the organism in Eukaryota, Metazoa, Chordata, Mammalia, Primates, Cebidae. The record is from RefSeq and is a predicted model, not a curated record.
GCUCUUUUGGCUCCUCCUGCUGGGGUUUCCCAGCCAUCAAUCCACCCGUGCGAUCAGUUUUCCACCUGAUUAUUUGUAUCCUGGGCAUGACUUUCUUGGUGUUCUGUGGAUGCUUAUCACUAUUGUGUUUCUGUGAGUUUCUACAGUUGGACUUUUCCUCUGAAAAAUUAGCUUUUGUCUCUGUGCUCAAGCCUUGGAUAGGGAGAUGGCAGAGAGGAAGGCUGCCUACAAGCAGCACAGG